RNAcentral lists this ribosomal RNA (739 nucleotides) under Curtobacterium sp. 6C. RNAcentral describes it as "bacterial SSU rRNA". It matches the Rfam family "Bacterial small subunit ribosomal RNA", at positions 88 to 838 of the family's 1533-position model. Lineage: Bacteria; Bacillati; Actinomycetota; Actinomycetes; Micrococcales; Microbacteriaceae. The record is from RNAcentral.
UGGAUUAGUGGCGAACGGGUGAGUAACACGUGAGUAACCUGCCCCUGACUCUGGGAUAAGCGUUGGAAACGACGUCUAAUACUGGAUAUGAUCACUGGCCGCAUGGUCUGGUGGUGGAAAGAUUUUUUGGUUGGGGAUGGACUCGCGGCCUAUCAGCUUGUUGGUGAGGUAAUGGCUCACCAAGGCGACGACGGGUAGCCGGCCUGAGAGGGUGACCGGCCACACUGGGACUGAGACACGGCCCAGACUCCUACGGGAGGCAGCAGUGGGGAAUAUUGCACAAUGGGCGAAAGCCUGAUGCAGCAACGCCGCGUGAGGGAUGACGGCCUUCGGGUUGUAAACCUCUUUUAGUAGGGAAGAAGCGAAAGUGACGGUACCUGCAGAAAAAGCACCGGCUAACUACGUGCCAGCAGCCGCGGUAAUACGUAGGGUGCAAGCGUUGUCCGGAAUUAUUGGGCGUAAAGAGCUCGUAGGCGGUUUGUCGCGUCUGCUGUGAAAUCCCGAGGCUCAACCUCGGGCUUGCAGUGGGUACGGGCAGACUAGAGUGCGGUAGGGGAGAUUGGAAUUCCUGGUGUAGCGGUGGAAUGCGCAGAUAUCAGGAGGAACACCGAUGGCGAAGGCAGAUCUCUGGGCCGUAACUGACGCUGAGGAGCGAAAGCGUGGGGAGCGAACAGGAUUAGAUACCCUGGUAGUCCACGCCGUAAACGUUGGGCGCUAGAUGUAGGGACCUUUCCACGGU